UGUGCUGUGCCCCAAACUCCUGACAGGGAUUGGGAUUUAGGGUUUGGAGUUUGGGGUUUGGAGUUUGGGAUAUGGAUCUGGGCUGUGCUGCACCUCAAACUCCUGCCUGGGGUGUGGGAUUUGGGGUUUGGGUUUUGGGAUUUGGGGUUUGGGAUUGGGAUUUGGGGUCAGGGCUGCGCUGGGCUUCAAACUCCUGACAGGGAUUGGGAUUUAGGGUUUGGGAUUUGGGAUUUGGGGUUUAGGAUUUGGGGUUUGGGAUUUGCGGAUUGGGGUUUAGGACUGGGACUGGGGUCAGGGCUGUGCUGUGCCUCAAAUUCCUGCCUGAGAUUGAGAUUUGGGGAUUGGGAAUGGGGUUUGGGGUUUGGGAUUGGGAUUUGGGGUUUGGGGUUUGGGAUUUGGGGUUUCAGAAUAGGGAUAUGGGACUGGGGUCCAGACUGUGCUGUGCCUCAAAUUCCUGCCUGGGAUUGGGAUUUGUGGUUUGGGGUUUGGGAUCUGAGAUUUGGGUUUUGGGAUUGGGGUUUGGGGUCCAGGCUGUGCUGCACCUCAGACUCCUGCCUGGGGUUUGGGAUUGGAGAUUGGGGUUUGGGAUUUGGGGAUAUGGGAAUAUGGGAUCGGGGUCUGGGCAAUUCUGGGUUCCCCCAGGAACAGGGGAGAAAAGCGCUCAGGGGAGGAAGCAGAGGAGGGAAAAACUGUCCUGGGGAAAGUGAAAGAGAACGGGCAGGGAAAACCCCAAAAACAAUAAAGAGGGAAAAAGGGAAGGAAAGGAGCGGGGGAAGAGAGGUUGGAGCUGGAUGGGGGAAGGGAAGGGGCCGGGGAGGUGUCAGCCUGAGUCCCGUCCCAUCCCUGCUUCCACCUUUUCUCAUCCCAUUCCUGUCCCCUCCCUCCCUCUCAGUCCCGGCAUCCUCCAGACUCCGCCCCCAUCCCAUUGAUCCCAUCCCCAAUCCCGACCUCUGCCCCAUCCCCAUUCCCAGCCCCGUUCUCAUCCCAAUCCUGAUCCCCCC
This 1001-nucleotide long non-coding RNA is filed under the name Zonotrichia albicollis (white-throated sparrow). Its description in RNAcentral is "lncRNA (ENSZALG00000001047.1)". The record is from RNAcentral. Lineage: Eukaryota; Metazoa; Chordata; Aves; Passeriformes; Passerellidae.